This 253-nucleotide ribosomal RNA is filed under the name uncultured bacterium. RNAcentral's name for it is "partial 16S ribosomal RNA". It matches the Rfam family "Bacterial small subunit ribosomal RNA", at positions 524 to 776 of the family's 1533-position model. The record is from RNAcentral.
UACGUAGGGUGCGAGCGUUACUCGGAAUUACUGGGCGUAAAGCGUGCGUAGGCGGUUUGUUAAGACAGAUGUGAAAUCCCCGGGCUUAACCUGGGAACUGCAUUUGUGACUGGCAAGCUAGAGUAUGGCAGAGGGGGGUAGAAUUCCACGUGUAGCAGUGAAAUGCGUAGAGAUGUGGAGGAAUACCGAUGGCGAAGGCAGCCCCCUGGGCCAAUACUGACGCUCAUGCACGAAAGCGUGGGGAGCAAACAGG